CCUACGGGGGGCUGCAGUGAGGAAUAUUGGUCAAUGGGCGGAAGCCUGAACCAGCCAAGUAGCGUGAAGGAUGACGGCCCUACGGGUUGUAAACUGCUUUUAUACGGGAAUAACGCGCCUUUCGUGUAGGGCUUUGCAUGUACCGUAUGAAUAAGGACCGGCUAAUUCCGUGCCAGCAGCCGCGCUAAUACGGAAGGUCCGGGCGUUAUCCGGAUUUAUUGGUGUUAAAGGGAGCGUAGGCCGAUUGUCAUGCGUGUUGGGAAAUGUCCGGGCGCAACCCGGGCAUUGCAGAGCGUACUGGCGUGCUGGAGUCCGCGGAAGGCAGGCGGAAUUCGUGGUGUAGCGGUGAAAUGCUUAGAUAUGACGAAGAACCCCGAUGGCGAAGGCAGCUUGCUGCAGCGGAACUGACGCUGAUGCUCGAAAGCGCGGGUAUCGAACAGGAUUAGAUACCCUUGUAGUC
RNAcentral lists this ribosomal RNA (460 nucleotides) under uncultured bacterium. Its description in RNAcentral is "partial 16S ribosomal RNA". It matches the Rfam family "Bacterial small subunit ribosomal RNA", at positions 338 to 795 of the family's 1533-position model. The record is from RNAcentral.